This is a non-coding RNA of Capsicum annuum, 107 nucleotides long. The record is from Rfam. Lineage: Eukaryota; Viridiplantae; Streptophyta; Magnoliopsida; Solanales; Solanaceae.
AGUUGAUGAUUUGGACAGUCCCAAAGAAGAGCUUUGAAUCACUCCUAAGCAUGACAUAAAUUCUCAUUUGGCUUCUGUUUGAAGCACAUAAUCUCACUACACAAUCU